This 83-nucleotide transfer RNA is filed under the name Burkholderia latens. RNAcentral describes it as "tRNA-Cys". Lineage: Bacteria; Pseudomonadati; Pseudomonadota; Betaproteobacteria; Burkholderiales; Burkholderiaceae. The record is from RNAcentral.
GCGAGCCGUUGACGGCCAGGAUCACGUCGCCAGGCUGCAGACCUGCCUUCGCGGCCGGGCCGUUCGGAUCGACCGAGCUCACG